This 428-nucleotide ribosomal RNA is filed under the name uncultured bacterium. RNAcentral describes it as "bacterial SSU rRNA". It matches the Rfam family "Bacterial small subunit ribosomal RNA", at positions 355 to 776 of the family's 1533-position model. The record is from RNAcentral.
UGGGGAAUAUUGCGCAAUGGAGGAAACUCUGACGCAGCAACGCCGCGUGUGUGAAGAAGGCUUUCGGGUCGUAAAGCACUGUUGAGUAGGAAGAGACGGUUUCGGUUAAUAUCCGAGACCCCGACGGUACUACUCGAGGAAGCACCGGCUAACUCCGUGCCAGCAGCCGCGGCAAUACGGAGGGUGCAAGCGUUGUUCGGAAUUAUUGGGCGUAAAGGGCAUGUAGGCGGGUCAUUAAGUCUGAUGUGAAAUCCCUCGGCUCAACCGAGGACGUGCAUUGGAAACUGAUGAUCUUGAGUCCUGGAGAGGAAGGCGGAAUUCCCAGUGUAGAGGUGAAAUUCGUAGAUAUUGGGAGGAACACCAGCGGCGAAGGCGGCCUUCUGGACAGUGACUGACGCUAAGGUGCGAAAGCGUGGGUAGCAAACAGG